Non-coding RNA from Cinara cedri, 261 nucleotides. The record is from the annotation of a GenBank genome assembly. Lineage: Eukaryota; Metazoa; Arthropoda; Insecta; Hemiptera; Aphididae.
ACUACUGUCUACUUCUUUCUACUAGUUUGAAUAUUUCCUUAUAAAAUAAUUAUAUAAGGAAUAUUUUUCUGUUUUCGUAAACCAGUGUUGUUAAUGAAUUGCAGUUUACAAAACUAUAAUAUAUCAAGUAACAUUCAUCAUGUUCACGAAAAACCAAGAUUGAAAAAUAAAAAGAGCUGAUACUGCAGAUGGGUGCGCCACUCUUAUAGGUGGGAAGUUGGGAAGGUAGGAUACAUAAAGUUAUUUAAUUUAUCAACCGUG